RNAcentral lists this small RNA (538 nucleotides) under uncultured fungus. RNAcentral describes it as "eukaryotic LSU rRNA". The stretch from base 182 to 335 matches the Rfam family "5.8S ribosomal RNA". Lineage: Eukaryota; Fungi. The record is from RNAcentral.
GGAAGGAUCAUUAUUGAAAAUAAACCUGAUGGGUUGUUGCUGGUUCUCUAGGGAGCAUGUGCACACCUUGUCAUCUUUAUAUCUCCACCUGUGCACCUUUUGUAGAUCUUUUCAGGUCUAUGUUGCUUUAUUUACCCCCAAUGUAUGUCAAUAGAAUGUUGUGCCUAUAUAUAAUAUAUACAACUUUCAGCAACGGAUCUCUUGGCUCUCGCAUCGAUGAAGAACGCAGCGAAAUGCGAUAAGUAAUGUGAAUUGCAGAAUUCAGUGAAUCAUCGAAUCUUUGAACGCACCUUGCGCUCCUUGGUAUUCCGAGGAGCAUGCCUGUUUGAGUGUCAUUAAUAUAUAUAUAUCAACCAUUCUCUUGUGGAAUGGUUUGGAUGUGGGAGUUUGCUGGCCUCAUAAACGGGGUUCAGCUCUCCUGAAAUGCAUUACAUCAGAACAACCUGUUCAUUGGUGUGAUAACUAUCUACGCUAUUGAAUGUAAGGGGCAGUUCAGCUUUCCAACCGUCCUUGGACAACUCAUCAUUAAUGUGACCUC